This 468-nucleotide ribosomal RNA is filed under the name uncultured bacterium. RNAcentral's name for it is "partial 16S ribosomal RNA". It matches the Rfam family "Bacterial small subunit ribosomal RNA", at positions 28 to 507 of the family's 1533-position model. The record is from RNAcentral.
GACGAACGCUGGCGGCGUGCUUAACACAUGCCAGUCGAACGGAAAGGCCCUGCUUUUGUGGGGUGCUCAAGUGGCGAACGGGUGAGUAACACGUGAGUAUCCUGCCCUUCACUUUGGGAUAACUUCCGGAAACUGCGGCUAAUACCGGCUAGGAGCUCCUGCUGCAUGGUGGGGGUUGGAAAGCUUCGGCGGUUGGGGAUGGACUCACGGCUUAUCAGCUUGUUGGUGGGGUAGUGGCUUACCAAGGCUUUGUCGGGUAGCCGGCCUGAGAGGGUGACCGGCCACAUUGGGACUGGGAUACGGCCCAGACUCCUACGGGAGGCAGCAGUGGGGAAUAUUGCACAGUGGGGGGAAGCCUGAUGCAGCAACGCCGCGUGCGGGAUGACGGCCUUCGGGUUGUAAACCGCUUUCGCCUGUGACGAAGCGUGAGUGACGGUAAUGGGUAAAGAAGCACCGGCUAACUACGUG